Molecule: long non-coding RNA, 1503 nt
Filed under: Phascolarctos cinereus (koala)
Lineage: Eukaryota; Metazoa; Chordata; Mammalia; Diprotodontia; Phascolarctidae
Description: lncRNA (ENSPCIG00000018180.2)
Source: RNAcentral
GAGGGGCAGGGGAGCUGAUCCACAGCCCAACAGGAGUGGAGCACCAGGGUCCAGGCGUUAGGACCGGUGAAGGGGGGUGGGGGCGGGGUUGCCAGGUGCGGAGCUCCUGCCUCAUAAAGGUGGGUCUCGACGUCACAGGGAGGCAGACAUCAUCGCGGGGUUGGUCUCGCCCAGGCUCAGUUCUGUUCAGCUCACGACUCCUUCAGUACCCCACUCCGAGGGCUGGGAGUGAAUAUCUGGAGUUCGAGACAUGCCAGGGGUCCAGACCAACGUCCCGCGGAGAUUCAGACGCCGGAAGAGGGGCCGAAAGCGGUCACGAAUCAUCUUACCCGAGAACCCUGGACCCGCGCCCAAGGUAUGUCGGGUUUUGUCACCUCAAAGGACAAGGGUUGUUCCUGAACCUUCAGAAACGAGCCUCACGGACAUCACUAAGAUUGUAUCUCUGCUGCAAAUAUCAUGAAGACAAAGAGCAUGAGGCCAGAAGUAAAACCAAUUGUCCAUAAAAAUGAUGCCACAUGUACAUGAUAACACCUUUGCCAGGAACUCUACAACAGCUUCAGUGAUGGAAGGUUAAACCAGCUACCUAUUAUUGAAAAGACUGGAAGCAUAAAUCUAAAACACUGUGGCAUGCAUUAAAACUCACUCCAACCUGAUCUAUUUGAAUGUGUUGUUAAUGAUUAAAAAGGAUAUGGGCACUGAAAAAAAAAGACGCACUCCUACCACAAUCAUUUCAUAUAGAAUUAUAACUGAUAUAAAUAAUUUGGGGGCAUCAAAAAUGGGCCUUAAGAAACAUUUUACUAAUUUACUGAGAUCUGUCAGCCAAAGGCAAAAAAAAAAAGGGUUUAGAACACAAAGUCAUUUCUAAAAUCUCAUGGAAAAGCAUGGUGGAAUAUUGGGGCAUAUCUCCUCAUAGAUGAGGAUUCCUACAUUCUCUCUGUAUAUUGACAUAUAUGAGUACUUAUAUUCUCUCUAUAUAUGUAUAUGAAUACUAAUAUGUUCUCUCUAUAUACACAUUUGUAAAUGUGAGUGCUCAUGUAUUGUUUUGUGGGGAGAGCAAGAGUUGAAGUUUUAAUGGGGAGUGCAAUGGGGCAAUUCAGCUAACUGAAAUCACCCCAAGGGUAUUGAAGGAUAAAACUGGAAGGAAAAUGACCCAAUGCUGAAACAUGGCAAAGAUCUGCACAAGUUUUGCUGGAAUCCUGGUCACUGACAAGGGUAAUAGGGCACUAUCAGUGGGGACAAUCUUCUUUUCCAGAGAUGGCUCCAAUUCCUUGAAUUGGAUUUUUCCAUUCAACAAACCAUUAUUAAGCACCUACUAUAUGCCAGGCCACAUGCUAAGAUUUGGGACACAAAGCCAAAAAACCAUUACAGUCCUCAAGGAGCUUACAUUUCACACAUGCCAUUAGACAGGGGCUCCAGUUUUCCUUUUUACACACUAAUGUAAUCCCUCCUUUCCAAAAGGGAGUCUUUUCCAGAGAGUAGAUAGAAUAAUACAGGAAAACCUCC